This is a small nucleolar RNA of Cannabis sativa, 106 nucleotides long. Lineage: Eukaryota; Viridiplantae; Streptophyta; Magnoliopsida; Rosales; Cannabaceae. The record is from RefSeq and is a predicted model, not a curated record.
AUCCCAUGGUUCGGACACUUCCUCAAUAAAUCUUUUAAUCUCUCCCAGGCUUCAUAAAGAGAUUUGUUGUCAUGCUGGUAAAGUUAUUGAUUUCAGCUCUAAGCUU